This 405-nucleotide ribosomal RNA is filed under the name uncultured bacterium. RNAcentral describes it as "partial 16S ribosomal RNA". It matches the Rfam family "Bacterial small subunit ribosomal RNA", at positions 30 to 526 of the family's 1533-position model. The record is from RNAcentral.
AUUGAACGCUAGCGGGAUGCUUUACACAUGCAAGUCGAACGAGUGGCGGCCGGGUGAGUAAUAUAACGGAACGUGCCCAGUAGCGGGGGAUAACUUCUCGAAAGAGUGGCUAAUACCGCAUACUAUUGGAGAGGCCGAUAUCGGAUUUGCUAGUUGGUGGGGUAAAGGGUCAUCAAGGCAACGAUCCGUAGCUGGAUUGCGAGGACGCCCAGCCACACGGGGAGUGAGAAACGGCACAGACUCCUGCGGGCGACAGAAGUGGGCAAUUUUGGACAAUGGGGGAAGCUCUGAUCCAGCAAUCCCGCGAGUAUGAGAAGGCAUACGGGUUGGAAGUUACUUUUGUCAGAGAAGCGGUAUCUGCAGAAUAAGCACCGGCGAACUACGUGCCAGCAGCCGCGGGAAUUC